Molecule: non-coding RNA, 73 nt
Organism: Ciona intestinalis (vase tunicate)
Lineage: Eukaryota; Metazoa; Chordata; Ascidiacea; Phlebobranchia; Cionidae
Source: Rfam
GGCGCCGUAGCACAGUUGGUCAGCGCGCCUGCCUCUAACCCAGAGGUAAUGGGUUCAAGGCUCGUCGCUGCUA